AGAGUGAACGCUGGCGGCAGGCCUAAUACAUGCAAGUCGAACGGCAGCACGGCAGAGCUUGCUCUGUGGGUGGCGAGUGGCGGACGGGUGAGGAAUACAUGGGAAUCUGCCCAGUCGUGGGGGAUAACGUAUGGAAACGUACGCUAAUACCGCAUGCGCCCUUCGGGGGAAAGCCGGGGACCUUCGGGCCUGGCGCGAUUGGAUGAGCCCAUGUCGGAUUAGCUAGUUGGCGGGUAACGCCCACAAGGCGACGAUCCGUAGCUGGUCUGAGAGGAUGAUCAGCCACACUGGAACUGAGACCACGGUCCAGACUCCGACGGGAGCAGCAGUAGGGAAUAUUGGACAAGUGGGCACAAGCCUGAUCCAGCCAUGCCGCGUGUGUGAAGAAGGUCCUUACGGUGUAAACGCUACGUUUUU
Molecule: ribosomal RNA, 417 nt
Filed under: uncultured soil bacterium
Lineage: Bacteria
Description: bacterial SSU rRNA
Rfam family: Bacterial small subunit ribosomal RNA
Source: RNAcentral